RNAcentral lists this ribosomal RNA (837 nucleotides) under Coolia malayensis. RNAcentral's name for it is "LSU rRNA". It matches the Rfam family "Eukaryotic large subunit ribosomal RNA", at positions 68 to 867 of the family's 3401-position model. Lineage: Eukaryota; Dinophyceae; Peridiniales; Ostreopsidaceae. The record is from RNAcentral.
AACAUGAUUCUUUUAGUAAUGGCGAAUGAACAAAGACAUGGUCAUUUUGAAAAUUGUGGUCUUAGAUCAUGAAUUGUAUUUUCAAAAUGCAUUGCUAACACAACUGCACAUGUUUGUUUAUUGGAAAGAACAUCACAAAGGGUGACAAUCCCAUGUGUCAUGUGUAUGUUUUGUGUACAGCGUGCAUUAUAUGAAUCACAUUCAUUGACAAUUGAAUGCAAAUAGAAUGGUAAAUUUCAUUUAAUCAUAAAUAUGUUGUUGACAACUUAUAGCAAACAAAUACCAUGAGGGAAAUGUGAAAAGGAUUUUGAAAAGAAAAUUAAAAGAGCUUGCAAUUGCUGAACUGAUAAGCAAACAAAACAUACGUGUGUAUGCAAGAUUGUUGUAAUGCUUAGCAUCUUAUGCAAGGCUAUUGCAAUGAUUUUUUGUAUAGUGAUGCUACCUUUCUUUAGAAUCUGGAAUGUCUUUUUUUGAGUGUGAAUGGAAUUUUGUUUGUUAGCAAAGGAAUGCACUUUUAGAUUCAUUGUUUGAUUUGAUUAAAAAAUGUUUGUGACACAUGUCUUUGUUUUAGUUGCAUGCUUCAACCAAGGACAUUGUGUUUGAUCCAUGUCAGCAAUACAUGUUUUGUUUGACCCGUCUUGAAACACGGACCAAGGAGUUUAAUUUAUGUGCAAGAUCAUGAAACUGACAUUUGUAUAUCAAUGAAAAUAUUUUGUUGGGAUUUGUGCACCAACAACUGAUAAGUUGUGUGACGCGACGUUGAGUUUGAGCAUGUUGAUUAAAACCCGAAAGAUGGUGAACUAUGCCUGAACAGAAUGAAGUCAGAGGAAACUCUGA